RNAcentral lists this ribosomal RNA (494 nucleotides) under uncultured bacterium. Its description in RNAcentral is "bacterial SSU rRNA". It matches the Rfam family "Bacterial small subunit ribosomal RNA", at positions 28 to 507 of the family's 1533-position model. The record is from RNAcentral.
GAUGAACGCUAGCGGCAGGCUUAAUACAUGCAAGUUGAGGGGCAGCAUGAUAUACGCGAGUAUAUUGAUGGCGACCGGCGGACGGGUGAGUAAUAGGUAGGAGACCUACCUCAUACAGGGGGAUAGCAUAGAGAAAUCUGUGGCAAUACCCCAUGAGGUUAUAUGAAUAGAGGCAUAUAAUCAAAGCAUAAGCGAUUAUGCGGUAUGAGAGGGGCCUACUGACCAUUAGCUAGUUGGUGAGGUAAGGGCUCACCAAGGCGAAGAUGGUUAGGGGUUUUGAGAGAGAGACCCCCCACAUUGGAACUGAGAGACGGUCCAGACUCCUACGGGAGGCAGCAGUAGGGAAUAUUGGGCAAUGGGCGAAAGCCUGACCCAGCCAUGCCGCGUGAAGGAAGACGGCCUUAUGGGUUGUAAACUUCUUUACUACGCGAAUAGAGGUUAGUACGAGAUACUAAUAGGAAGGUAGUGUAGUAAAAGCACCGGCUAACUCCGUG